Molecule: long non-coding RNA, 2497 nt
Organism: Monodelphis domestica (gray short-tailed opossum)
Lineage: Eukaryota; Metazoa; Chordata; Mammalia; Didelphimorphia; Didelphidae
Source: RefSeq, a predicted model, not a curated record
AGGAAAUCAACACACAGAAGCAAGGAAGAGACCUUUGGACAUGCAAAGGUCUCAGCUUCCUGGAGAAAUUGGACUUCAAAAGUUCUUCCCCUUAUAAAUCUUGCAAUCCCACCUAAGGAUAGGAACACAACAGAACAACUCAUGUUGACAUUGCUUCCAUUUCUCUACCAAAAGAAACAAUCUGUUAACUCUGAAGAGUAAAACAAAACAAAACAAAAAAAGGAUAAUAAGCAAGCUGAUGCCUGAGGAGCAAGAUAUAAUAAAAGAAAAUGAGGUGAUAAAAAUAAUAGACAACAGUGAACAGCUUCAACUCUUAUUCAAGCCUUCAACUAUAAUUUUGCUUCUGCUUUUUCUUCCAAAGAGAAUGAUGUUUACAAUGGACAUAAUAUAGUGGAAAAUCAUAGAAGGAAGUUUAUUGAAGUCCAAGAUAUGUGAGGAGAUGGUAAAAUAGCACCUAGUUGUCUUUGAUGAGGUCAAGUCACCAAGACUCUCAUACAGAUCACAUGUUAGUAUUUAUCCUGAAUAAAUCAUAAGAUGUGAUUGCUGAAUUAUCACUAAUGAUAUUUGAAGGAUUGUGGCACAUAGAAUAAAUGGCAUGGAACUGAAGGACAAAAUCUUCCUACUGCUGAAAGAAGAAAACAUGGUGACAUCUACAAACUGUAGACCAGUGAGCUUGACUCUGAUGCCUGGCAAAUUCUAGGACAUGUUAUUAAAAGUAUGGUUUGAGAGCAUUUAGAAUGAGAAGUAGUUUGCUAAAUGCCAUUAUGUCUUUAUCAAGAACAGAGAAUGUCAGACUAGCUUUAUUUCUCUUUUUGAUAGGGUAAGUAUACUAGUAAAUGAAAGGAAUAUUUUAGAGAUGAUAUACUUAAUUUUUUUUGUUAUUAUUAUAGCAUAGUUCAUUUUAUUCUUCUUUCUAUUUUAAAUUGUUUUAUUCGUAUAUUUUAUUUUCCUGAUUGUGCUUUACUUCACUCUGCAUCAAUUUAUGUAUAUUACUUGGUUUUACAGUUUCUUUGUAUUUAUCAUUUAUAUAUUUUAUACAAUGUUUUUAGCUAUUUCUUGUUUUGAAAACACCUGUUUUUUUCCAAUUAUUUGCUACUAUGAAAAAAUGUUGUUAUGACUAUUUUGUUACAUAAGUAAUUUCUUUCCAUUUUUGACCAAAGCCUUAGGUUGUUUUCAUCUCCAUAUUCCUAGAUACUAUGAUUCUUUUAAUGGAAUUUAAGUUAAAAUUAGCUUUCCUUGAAGUCAUAUCACAUAGAUAAUUCACAUUUUCUUGAAAUGUACAAAAAUGGACAUUCUAUCCUUGAGAAGUCAGUUCAUGGAAUCUAAGUGAAAUAAUUUUAUAUUUGUUUGUAUUAAAUUAUUUCUUGUAAGCUAAGGUCCAUUGUUUUAGCCUUUCAGAAUCUUUUUGAAAACUCAUUUUCAUCCAGUGUGUGUCAAUUAUCUAUCCCAUCUUUACUUCAUCUAUAAAUUUGAGAAGCAAACCAUUGUGUAUGCCUUUGAGCAAGUCAUUGGUUUUAAUAGGGACAGGGAUAAAUGCAGUUCCCUGGGGGCACCCAAUCAGACUCAUUCUCAUCCACCACAAGUUACUGUGGAAGCUUAAAUUUCUACUUGUAAUCUAGUCCAUAUCUACAAUUUCCCCAUAGGAAUAUUAUGAGAGACUUUACCAAAUGUUUUAGUCAAAUUUAAACAUUCACAUGAUGGGUUCUGUUUUUUUUUUCUUUCUUCGGUCUGGUCUGAAACACCCUUUUCUUAAUGAAGCCAGGAUUACUCUUUGUGAUUGUGGCAUCUAUUUUUAGAUUUUUACUAGUUUUUUUUAUAAUACUUUCUAGAAUUUUUCCAGGAAUGAAAUUCAAGCAUUCUGGCCCAUAAUGUUCAGACUUUGUUCUCUUCCCAGUUUUUCAAAAUUGAGACAUUUGCCUCCUUCUAAUUUGGGAAUGCUCCUAUUGUCAAUGAUCUUUUUUCUUCCAGGUCUUUCAGAAUCAAAGAUGUAGUUCACCUAGGCUCAAUGACUUUGCAUUGUGUUCAGUCCAUGAUUCAAGACAAUCCCAGAAACUCAUGAUGAAAAAUGUUGCCUUCAGAGAAAGAACUGAUGUAGUUUUAAUAGAUCAAAAAUACUAUAUUUCAUUUUCUUUCUUCUUUUCUUUCUUUGAGAUCUCUUCCACAAAAUGACAAGUGUGGACAAAUGUUUUACAUGUUUGCAUAUGUGAAAUCUACAUUAGAUUGUUUAAUACCUCAGGGAGGGAAGAAGGGCGGGAUGGAGUGGAGGGAGGGAGGAUGGGAAGGACAGAAAGAGUUUUAACUUGGAAAAAAAUUUACCAUAAAUGUUAAAAAUUGUUUUUACAUGUAAUUAAAGGGAAAUAAGAUAUUAUAAUUAAAAUAGAGAAAAAUAAAAAAUAAAAUUGAGGUUUGGACAAAUGACCUCUAAUAUUUCUGAGACCUAUUGAUCUUUCAUUUAUUUUGCUUUCUAGCCAUAUAAAUGAAUUUUGUAUGUAGAUCU